RNAcentral lists this ribosomal RNA (434 nucleotides) under uncultured bacterium. RNAcentral's name for it is "bacterial SSU rRNA". It matches the Rfam family "Bacterial small subunit ribosomal RNA", at positions 355 to 786 of the family's 1533-position model. The record is from RNAcentral.
UGAGGAAUAUUGGUCAAUGGGCGGGAGCCUGAACCAGCCAAGCCGCGUGAGGGAGGAAGGCCCUAUGGGUCGUAAACCUCUUUUGUCAGGGAACAAAAGCGAGUAUGUAUACUAGUCUGAGUGUACCUGAAGAAAAAGCAUCGGCUAACUCCGUGCCAGCAGCCGCGGUAAUACGGAGGAUGCGAGCGUUAUCCGGAUUUAUUGGGUUUAAAGGGUGCGUAGGCGGCGGUGCAAGUCAGCGGUAAAAGCCCGGGGGCUCAACCCCGGCGAGCCGUUGAAACUGCAGUGCUAGAGAAGGCGAGAGGUACGCGGAAUGCGCAGUGUAGCGGUGAAAUGCUUAGAUAUUGCGCAGAACUCCGAUUGCGAAGGCAGCCUACCGGCUCCACACUGACGCUGAGGCACGAAAGCGUGGGUAUCGAACAGGAUUAGAUACC